GACGAACGCAGGCGGCGUGCUUCACACCGCAAGUCGAACGGAAAGGCCCGCCACCUUGGUGGUGGGUACUCGAGUGGCGAACGGGUGAGUAACACGUGGGUGAUCUGCCCCGCACUGUGGGAUAAGCCUGGGAAACUGGGUCUAAUACCACAUACGACAAUGGCGUAGGGGUCAUGGUGGAAAGCUUUAUUGCGGUGUGGGAUGAGCCCGCGGCCUAUCAGCUUGUUGGUGGGGUAAUGGCCUACCAAGGCGGCGACGGGUAGCCAGCCUGAGAGGGUGGACGGCCACAUUGGGACUGAGACACGGCCCAGACUCCUACGGGAGGCAGCAGUGGGGAAUAUUGCACAAUGGGCGCAAGCCUGAUGCAGCGACGCCGCGUGGGGGAUGACGGCCUUCGGGUUGUAAACUCCUUUCGCCCGGGACGAAGCCCACCUGGUGGGUGACGGUACCGUGGAGAAGAAGCACCGGCUAACUACGUGCCAGCAGCCGCGGUAAUACGUAGGGUGCAAGCGUUGUCCGGAUUUACUGGGCGUAAAGAGCUCGUAGGUGGUGUGUCGCGUCGUCUGUGAAAUUCCGGGGCUUAACUCCGGGCGUGCAGGCGAUACGGGCACGACUAGAGUGCUGUAGGGGUAACUGGAAUUCCUGGUGUAGCGGUGAAAUGCGCAGAUAUCAGGAGGAACACCGAUGGCGAAGGCAGGUUACUGGGCAGUUACUGACGCUGAGGAGCGAAAGCAUGGGGAGCGAACAGG
Molecule: ribosomal RNA, 749 nt
Filed under: Corynebacterium durum
Lineage: Bacteria; Bacillati; Actinomycetota; Actinomycetes; Mycobacteriales; Corynebacteriaceae
Description: bacterial SSU rRNA
Rfam family: Bacterial small subunit ribosomal RNA
Source: RNAcentral